This 75-nucleotide transfer RNA is filed under the name Neotoma lepida (desert woodrat). It matches the Rfam family "tRNA". Rfam says of the family: Transfer RNA (tRNA) molecules are approximately 80 nucleotides in length. Their secondary structure includes four short double-helical elements and three loops (D, anti-codon, and T loops). The record is from Rfam by way of RNAcentral. Lineage: Eukaryota; Metazoa; Chordata; Mammalia; Rodentia; Cricetidae.
AGGGAUGUAGCUUAAUUGGUAGAGUGCUUGCCUGGCUUGCAGGAGGUUGUGGGUUUGACACUCCCUCAACCCCCG